Molecule: unclassified non-coding RNA, 376 nt
Filed under: Drosophila erecta
Lineage: Eukaryota; Metazoa; Arthropoda; Insecta; Diptera; Drosophilidae
Description: GG20514
Source: RNAcentral
UCUAUGAAAAGUGUGUCAUAAAAUUAAUUUUAAAUUUCGCUUGGCUUUCGUUUUUUCUUCUUUUGCCGGACGACUUUUCAUCCCCAUGGAACCGUGUCAACCUUAUGCUCCUGCCGCUGCCACGCCCACCGACGCCCCGUGAUUACGCUGUCGCUCCGACGUCCCGUCGUCCUGACUUCCUGACGUCCUGACGUCCCGUCGCCAACAUCGCCAUCGUCGCCAUCGCCGCCUGCCAACAACAGAGGACACUCAAAUCGUGAGCCCUGAUGGAUUUGACAUUUCGUCGAGUAAGCGCAAAAGCAAACCAAACCCCAAAAAUCAACAGAGGCGUCGUCAACGGAGUUUUGGGGGUAAAGAAAAAGAAACUGGGAAUCAG